UCCGGCCAUAUCACGUUGAAACAUUGGUUCCCGUACGAACACCGAUGUAAAGCAACAUCCAGCCUGAUAAGUAUCUAGAUGGAUGGACUCUUGGGAAUACUAGGCGA
Molecule: non-coding RNA, 107 nt
Organism: Acanthosepion pharaonis
Lineage: Eukaryota; Metazoa; Mollusca; Cephalopoda; Sepiida; Sepiidae
Source: the annotation of a GenBank genome assembly